RNAcentral lists this ribosomal RNA (512 nucleotides) under uncultured bacterium. RNAcentral's name for it is "partial 16S ribosomal RNA". It matches the Rfam family "Bacterial small subunit ribosomal RNA", at positions 28 to 523 of the family's 1533-position model. The record is from RNAcentral.
GACGAACGCUGGCGGCGUGCCUAAUACAUGCAAGUCGAGCGGAACUGGGGGAGCUUGCUCCUUCCAGUUUAGCGGCGGACGGGUGAGUAACACGUGGGCAACCUGCCCUGCAGAUCGGGAUAACUCCGGGAAACCGGUGCUAAUACCGAAUAGUUCGGCGCCUCUCCUGAGGCGCUACGGAAAGACGGUUUCGGCUGUCACUGCAGGAUGGGCCCGCGGCGCAUUAGCUAGUUGGUGGGGUAACGGCCCACCAAGGCGACGACGCGUAGCCGACCUGAGAGGGUGACCGGCCACACUGGGACUGAGACACGGCCCAGACUCCUAUGGGAGGCAGCAGUAGGGAAUCUUCCGCAAUGGACGCAAGUCUGACGGAGCAACGCCGCGUGAGUGACGAAGGUUUUCGGAUCGUAAAACUCUGUUGUGAGGGAAGAACACGUACCAACUAACUAUUGGUACCUUGACGGUACCUCACCAGAAAGCCACGGCUAACUACGUGCCAGCCGCCGCAGUAA